UGUACUCCUCCGCCGAUGACGGCAGGAAG
RNAcentral lists this small RNA (29 nucleotides) under Bombyx mori (domestic silkworm). RNAcentral describes it as "ovarian small RNA-35415". The record is from RNAcentral. Lineage: Eukaryota; Metazoa; Arthropoda; Insecta; Lepidoptera; Bombycidae.